This 3621-nucleotide ribosomal RNA is filed under the name Triticum aestivum (bread wheat). Its description in RNAcentral is "partial small subunit ribosomal RNA". The record is from RNAcentral. Lineage: Eukaryota; Viridiplantae; Streptophyta; Magnoliopsida; Poales; Poaceae.
GGCCUUUGGUUCUGUGCGGCUGGCGGAGGUCGGUGGCAGCCGGCAGGGACUGGAGGUCGGCGACCUGCGGCAGGCCUGGAGGUAGUCGGCUCGUGGAAGGGUGGUAGGAAGUCGGCGGCCUAAACUGGACUGGGAGUGGCCAAAGACAGUUCGUUUAGCGGCCUGCUGAACGCCGAAGAUUACCGCCUAGGCCACAGGCGACGACGGCGACAUCCUACCCGGUACUUUCGGCGACCCACCCAGCGGAGCGGGUAGUAGAGGCUCGAAAUGUUCUUUCGGAGGAGGGAGGAGUCGAAACUACGUAGCGUCUUCGAGUUCCUUGACCUCGGUUUCUAAAACGACGAUGUCGCGCACUACCUUUAUCAACUCCUCUCGGGAAUGUCCGGAGCAGACGUCGUCGACAAGUUGCUAGAAUUCAGACGAAAGAUGCUUCGUCUCCUGUAGAACUGUCAAGGAUCUCUUUGUCUAUGUUCUACUGAUAGAGUUCAAUCUCCACCGGCGCGGAGCUGCGUUGUUCUUGGUACACUUCUUCGAGAACUGCAGACGGUACUUUUUCACGUUGAAGGACUUUCUAGUCCUCACACCGUACAGUUUUUAGCUCAACUUCGUCUCGGAUCUUUUUUAUCUUUUCCAGUAUUUACUACGUACACCUAAAAAACUUGUCUACUUGAACGGUUUGUUUUCGUUAUGAUUAAACUCGUUUGGACGGUUGAGUGCUCCACGCCAGUGAUGCCGCUCCGGAGGUAGGGACCAUUAGCCUGCUCUAUUUCUAACACUAUUGUAUCAACGUUACGAAGUACUAUUACUUCUUCUACGAGUUGGUUUGUGGUUGUCUCGAGUUACAAUAAGGCAUUAGCCGUAAGUACCGUAGCCACCAAGACCCUUUAGUUGGGAAAGUGUUGAACAAACACGGGCACUCGUUUUCCUACCAGUAAAGUUGGAACAAUACACCCAAGUGCAAAGAGUCCUAAAAUCACACCUAUGGUAAAAGCCCGUCUACAGACUCCGGCGAUCGUCCUGGGGCACGGGAGUCAAGUUAUUAGAACUGUGGAAUGUUUGAUUAAACCUCUUCCAUGACGUACCUUUUGCCAAGGAGAACCAUGAUCUACUACAAACCAUGUUAUUAUCUCUACACUCCGUCAUACUCUUCGACGUUGUCUAUGAAAGUGGCGACUUGCGACCUCUUGGUCCUUCGUUCCAGGACCACUGAUCAUCUUGAUUUCUACGUAACUAUCGAGACCCACGACGUCUCGUCUCUACAUAAGGGUACAGUCAGGAUCCACUUCUACAGAAGGACUUUAACAAGUUCGUGAUACGUAAAGUGUUGCACACGCAACGACGACUACUGGCUUAUUCUGAGCUUCUGUAACGCUGAGUCUAACGUUUUUUCGAUUUCCCCAGUGGAGAUCGCCGGUUUUAACAACCUCCCGUCGAUGCAUACUCCGGUUUGUAACUAAUGACCUCUUUAAGGGCUCUACCCUUGGUAAACCUACUGUGGUACCCUCGAGACACCACCUCGAUGGUUGUAGAACUACUUGUCCAGUCUGCUACGAAACGAAUGACGUCAUAAAAGGGAGCUUCUGCAGAGAACUCUGUUCUACUCGAUCACUUCGAAACCCGACGUCUUCCCAAACGGUCUUCAUCGUUGCUUCCCUUCCUAAGUCUUCUACAAACGGUCCCUAUGAAACUACUUGAUCACAGUCGGAGUAAAGACGUUGUAUUUCAUCUCAAGGUGUGACCAUCUUUCCUGUGAAUAUAUCAAGUACUAAACAACGAACUAAAUCGCCUGUUCCAGCGACCUUCACUAACAAAGUUUUAGCUCUUGUCUACCUUUGCCUCUCCUCUGUCGAACUAUUACCUUCCUCCUGUACUUUUUCUUCAAGGGGAUCUGCGGGCGGUAAAAAUAGAAGUCUGGAUACUAAGUCUUAACUAAUGACUCUUCUAUACAUUUAACCUGUUCGACGCCUGAGAGUAGUAACUGCCGCAUCUACAGUGUUUUGGUCAACUCCUAUUUCACCAGUUCUCAGACAAACACUCCGAUUUCUUCAACGCCCACGAAUAGUAUGGACAGAUAUUACUAGUUCCAUGUAAAAGUCAGGGUCUUACAUAACCAGUCGAUUCCGUAGAUGCCAUAGAUGCCGUAGAAGGAAUACUCUGAUCUGUGCCGUUCUACGACCAAAAUGGUUCGUGAAACUCGUUCGAAAUGGUGUACGUCCAACAUCUAAAAAGACCACAACUUUUUAACCACAAGUUGAGAGCACUGCUGUACAAACCGGAGUAGUUGAACGCUGUGUACCGGCCUUACGGCAAAGACUUCUAGGGUUCUCAACCGUCCUACUGUAACGAAGCUUGCGACGUUUUUAAACUUCACCCUUUCCUCGUUCCCACGCUCAACUUCGUUGAGCCGCCGGACUUGGUCGAAGCGCCGUUUGACUCAUAGCGCCCGGAGCUCUUGCAGUUCUGGGUCGUCCUUCGGGAACUUCGGUUCGACCCGCUGUUUCUUCCCGACUGUUGUAACCUUGACACCACCCCCGCACUAUGCUCUCCUCUCAACUUCUUCGUCCUCCGAGUCUGCCUCCACGACCUCCCAGAGACGGGUGGGUUCGUAGACCUUAGUGACUGAUAGGUGAGAAUGGUACCGAACUCUAUGGGCUCGACCUACUACCCGGUCGUGCUGCCGACGGGUUUCAUAGAGUUGGUUGAGUCGGAGAAGGUAACGUCGUGUCUCGAACCGGUUCUCGAACCACCCAAAACCGGAGUGGAGGCAAGGAAGAUGUACACGGCGACGUCGAGCAGGUGGUACGGCCUAGUGUACCUCGUGGACUGCAGCGAGUUCAUGGACCGGGAGCUGACCACGGGCUUGUAGGCCAGCGAAGGCUGCGACGGCGCAAGAGAACUCGUGAAGCUAGAGUCGAAGACGUUACUCUACGACUACUCAAGUACGUCUUCUCGACCUCUGGGGUUGACCCUUUUCUAAGUCGUGCAAGGAAUACACACACAGUUACUGAAUCUCUGCUACCUUACCUGUGGGACCUGUGCUUCUCGGGUACAUCUACUACCGCCGCCGAGAAGUAGUAGUAGUAGCGGGUUCUGAGGGAGUUCGCACCUCCGGCACACUAGGAAUUUGGACGGACGGUUAUUAUAUGGAGCAGAUAACAUGAUCGUACAACGACUAAAACGCUCAGUCCACCACGACGACGAUGUGCCACGUCUUAAACUACUAGGAACAGUUGUUGAACGUUGAUGAUACAGACAUUAUAUCACUCAUAUUACGACACUUUGGUAUUUGUGACUCGAACGCAUAAAGGGUACCAAACAUUAUAAUAACGUGCUCUCUACGAGUUCUAGGUGUAAAUUAACAAAGGUUAACCAAACGUCAGUUGACGAACAUCAUUAUAAAAGAAGGAACGGGGUUUGGUGUUCUGUAACGAGUUAGGGAUAGAAAGAGAUACCACAUAAAUAAGGGGCACACAACUAAUGUUCCCUGUGAUCACGACGUCGUCUAGUCGUUGUAUAUCGGUUCGUCUGGUGAAAUGUACGUGUUAUACUGACUCUCGAACGGUAGGAUCCAAACCAUAUAAGACUAACGGUAGGUUCCGAGUUCUCCGACUUACCUGGGUU